AAAUAUAGAUGGGAUGGAAGAAUAUCGGAUAUGUCCAUGAUAGAUGAGGAGUUUAGGAGCAUCUCCCGGUUUCUUGAGGUUGAAGUCAGUGUGAGCGCCAUUGCCGCUGAAUCUAGAUGGGAUGUUUGAGUGGCGUUCGCGUAUGUGAUAAAUGAGGAGUUUGGGAGCGUGUCCAGGUUUGUGCUGGUACCAGAACACACAGUUCCUCCAGAGACUACAGUCAGCAACAGAUGUCAGAGGUGACUGAGGGCUGAAGAAAGUGAGCAGAAUGGGUUAUUCAGCUGCAAUAAAGUUCCUCAAGUAAUGCUGGGAGACAGGAGAGCUGUAUGUCUGCAGAGUAACACAUGCCAAGAUCCCAUACGCCAGGCAAUCCUGAUGCUUCCCAGUAGGUCCUGCUCUCUCCUGGGAAUGAAGCCAUAUCUGAGUCCCCUAUGACAGGUUUUCCUGCAGUCAGUCAACAAUCUACACCUUCUCACAGAGCUUCAACACACUAAAGACCAGACCUGAAUUCCCAGGUUCAAGGCUGUGUCUGGCUAUUUUAAUGCCAUAUAGGUGGACUGUUUCCCUUGUUGGCAUCUCCUUAACAGGCAACCACCUAGUUUGGCUAGAAACGGCCCUGUCUGGGGUGAAAAUCUUCAUUAAAAUCUUCUAAU
Long non-coding RNA from Sinocyclocheilus rhinocerous, 653 nucleotides. RefSeq lists it as uncharacterized. Lineage: Eukaryota; Metazoa; Chordata; Actinopteri; Cypriniformes; Cyprinidae. The transcript is spliced from 4 exons. The record is from RefSeq and is a predicted model, not a curated record.